GCGAACUGCUUUUUAACCUCACUAGCACUGGAGUACUGAAGCUUUUGGAGGGACAAGACAAAUCGAACAAUAGCUUUUAGAAUGUUGCAUGUAGCAAUGGAUGUGCAGAAAUCAGAAGUUGCAGCAUGAUCUACACCAGUGCAAAACAAAACAGUGCCUGAAGUUGGAGUUAACAGGCGAUUGACUGUGGUCGUUAAUCCAUAACGAAAAUGGGAGAAGCAGACCAAAUGGAAAAAUAAGUGUAGGCAGUAUAGUGCGAAGCAUUUGAAAUAUGGAUUUAUA
Molecule: long non-coding RNA, 282 nt
Organism: Mobula hypostoma (lesser devil ray)
Lineage: Eukaryota; Metazoa; Chordata; Chondrichthyes; Myliobatiformes; Myliobatidae
Exons: 3
Source: RefSeq, a predicted model, not a curated record